UCUUUUACAAUGACAAGAAAUUUGGACAUCCUUGGGAACGACCUCUGCUCUCUUUCAUUGGGAACACCACAGGCUUCUUUGGUACUGACUGGACUGAUUUCCCUCUGUCUCUGUGGCUGUCUGUGCCAACCCACACAAAGGGUGGCAACUCAACAGCUUAAAAAACUGAAAGGAAUUCAGUAGAGAGAAACAAAAACGAUUAAAGUGUUGGAAAAUAGGACCUAUGAAGAAAGAUUAAAGGAUCUGUGAUUAUUUAGCCUGGAGAAGAGAAGCUGACCUAAUAACCGUCUUCGAGACUGUGAAGGGUUAUUAUAUGGAGGAUGGUGACCAGCUGUUCCUCAUCUCCACUGAGGAUAGAAAAAGAGGAAAUGGGCUUAAGCUUCAAUAGGGAGGAUUUAGAUGAGAUAUAAAGAGCUUCCUCACAGUAAGGGCUGUUAACCACUAGAAUGGGUUACUGAGUGAAGAUGCUCAAUCUCCUUCUCUGGAGACCUUUAUACUUUGAAGAAAUGCCCAUUAUAUCAGGUAUGAUUUAGGUAUGGUCCUUCCUGAAGGCAGGGGAAUUGACUAGAUGACCACUCAAACAGUGCUUCCAAUCCCAUAAUUUUAUGAAAUUGCCUUCAAACCCAGUUAGCUUACAUGAACUCCAGAAAGGUGUGAGCAAAUGGUCUCCAUUCACAAAAAACUAGCAAGUGGAAAAACUUGGAUUCAGACCUGGAUCUUAUGACUCCCGAGUCCUUUUAGCCAUGCUCUCCUGAUACUGACCCUUCUUUGAAUCAUCAUGGGAAGAGUCUACAAGAGAUUCACUGGCCCUUUCUCUGGCUUUCAAGUAAAUAAGGACUUAUUUUCUUCAUUUUGCAUAAGAGGUUUUAAGAACAGUACUCUGAUGGAUUUUCCAUUUUAUGAAAGCAACAACAUUUCAAAGCAAUGCCCAGCUGAAAGGUUCCUGAAAUCCUCCAACCAGUUGAAGAAUGUUAGAAAAAGAAAAAAAAGAAAAGAAAAAGGAAGAAACUAAGAGAAAUUGACCAAUCGGGUCUUGAUCCAGCUUCCCAACAUCAAGAUGCUCUCCUACGUGUCACUUCCUCCAAAGCUUCCCCUCCUCUUGGAAAAGCCCAGCUCACCCAAGAAUUUCACACUACAUAAGCUGUAGCCACUUGUUACAUGUUGCUUUGCUUUCCAUGUCUACUGUAUUACAACACUGUUAAAGUUCUGAAUUAACAGCUGACGUUUUUGACCUGGCUCCCAUUAGCUCACAUUACCACCUGGUAACAGCCUGGCUUCCACAUGCUGUACUUCACAGAUAUCAGCCAUUAUCCCCAUCCCGGAUCAGUCCCCAGGCAGUAUGCUAACAGCCUCUUCUACAAGCCAAUUUACAAGGAUCUGGUCAUGUUUACAUUAGCCUUCUCCCAAUGCAUGAAAAGAGAAGAGCUAGCUUCAGAAUAGAAAUGAGCAAAUAUGAAUAAUUCAAUUUUCCUUGUGGCUAUUAACACAUUUUCCUUGAAUAAAGUGAUAAUAGGUUAUCA
Molecule: long non-coding RNA, 1520 nt
Filed under: Monodelphis domestica (gray short-tailed opossum)
Lineage: Eukaryota; Metazoa; Chordata; Mammalia; Didelphimorphia; Didelphidae
Description: lncRNA (ENSMODG00000042740.1)
Source: RNAcentral